This 736-nucleotide long non-coding RNA is filed under the name Homo sapiens (human). Its description in RNAcentral is "HSALNT0255339". The record is from RNAcentral. Lineage: Eukaryota; Metazoa; Chordata; Mammalia; Primates; Hominidae.
UGUGACGUUGUCACCUGUUGCUGUCACAUUGUCACACUAUUAAUGUCCCCCAGAACUGUCCCCCCCCGCUGCUGCCACUGUCAUCCCGUUAAGGUCACUGUGAGUCACGCCAGCCCCACCCUCCGUUUGACUUUCUGAGCAGCCAUGGAGCCCCCCCUCAUAGGCGGGACUUGACUGUGUGCACCCAGAGCCAGCAGACCCCAGAUGUUCAUUAGCAUGAGCUCGAGGAAGGCAUGGAGACAGGAGUGGGCAGGGUGUGCCCAGGAGCACAGGGUCAAGGCUGGGGACAAGGAGAUGGGAGGAGGGACGGGGAGAUGCCUGCAGUCUAUGGUGUGUGGAGUGCGCUGGGCCAGCCUAGGCCAGGGUGGCUUGGGGACAGAGCCCUCUUUGUAUAAGCACAGGAAGCAGCUGGGAGUCAAAGCAUUGCAUACAACGCCAGGAGUUUGGCCACGUGCCCAGGAAUGAGGCUUGGAGCGGGGAGGGAAGCCGCAGAGGACCCAGGAAAGCUCUGAGGAAGAGAUCAAGCUGGAUCCUCACAAGAGACCCUGAAGACAGGCUCUGAUAUCAUCCCAUUACACAGAUGAGGAAACUGAGGCACAGAGCCACCACAUCGCCCACUGGGACCCCACCACCAGGAAAGAAUACAGGCAAAUCUGAACCCAGGCCACAAAGCUGGAACCUUCCCCGUGGCCUUGGGCCCCCAGCCACACCCUCACCCCAUUGCCUUGAUGUUCUA